Molecule: ribosomal RNA, 497 nt
Filed under: uncultured bacterium
Lineage: Bacteria
Description: partial 16S ribosomal RNA
Rfam family: Bacterial small subunit ribosomal RNA
Source: RNAcentral
GAUGAACGCUGGCGGCGUGCCUAAUACAUGCAAGUCGAGCGAACAGACGAGGAGCUUGCUCCUCUGACGUUAGCGGCGGACGGGUGAGUAACACGUGGAUAACCUACCUAUAAGACUGGGAUAACUUCGGGAAACCGGAGCUAAUACCGGAUAGUAUAUUGAACCGCAUGGUUCAAUAGUGAAAGACGGUUUUGCUGUCACUUAUAGAUGGAUCCGCGCCGCAUUAGCUAGUUGGUAAGGUAACGGCUUACCAAGGCAACGAUGCGUAGCCGACCUGAGAGGGUGAUCGGCCACACUGGAACUGAGACACGGUCCAGACUCCUACGGGAGGCAGCAGUAGGGAAUCUUCCGCAAUGGGCGAAAGCCUGACGGAGCAACGCCGCGUGAGUGAUGAAGGUCUUCGGAUCGUAAAGCUCUGUUAUUAGGGAAGAACAAAUGUGUAAGUAACUAUGCACGUCUUGACGGUACCUAAUCAGAAAGCCACGGCUAACUACGUG